UGGGGAAUAUUGCACAAUGGGCGCAAGCCUGAUGCAGCCAUGCCGCGUGUAUGAAGAAGGCCUUCGGGUUGUAAAGUACUUUCAGCGGGGAGGAAGGGAGUAAAGUUAAUACCUUUGCUCAUUGACGUUACCCGCAGAAGAAGCACCGGCUAACCCCGUGCCAGCAGCCGCGGUAAUACGGAGGGUGCAAGCGUUAAUCGGAAUUACUGGGCGUAAAGCGCACGCAGGCGGUUUGUUAAGUCAGAUGUGAAAUCCCCGGGCUCAACCUGGGAGCUGCAUCUGAUACUGGCAAGCUUGAGUCUCGUAGAGGGGGGUAGAAUUCCAGGUGUAGCGGUGAAAUGCGUAGAGAUCUGGGGAAUACCGGUGGCGAAGGCGGCCCCCUGGACGAAGACUGACGCUCAGGUGCGAAAGCGUGGGGAGCAAACAGG
This 428-nucleotide ribosomal RNA is filed under the name Chloroflexota bacterium. Its description in RNAcentral is "Chloroflexi bacterium partial 16S ribosomal RNA". It matches the Rfam family "Bacterial small subunit ribosomal RNA", at positions 355 to 776 of the family's 1533-position model. The record is from RNAcentral. Lineage: Bacteria; Bacillati; Chloroflexota.